UUUAAAAUAGUUUUAAAUAAAACAUUAUAUUGAAAAUAUAAAAAUGAUUUUUAUAAUCUUUUAUAA
RNAcentral lists this transfer RNA (66 nucleotides) under Endecameris sp. ZJUH 20220006. RNAcentral's name for it is "tRNA-Phe". The record is from RNAcentral. Lineage: Eukaryota; Metazoa; Arthropoda; Insecta; Hymenoptera; Figitidae.